Molecule: ribosomal RNA, 520 nt
Filed under: uncultured Scutellospora
Lineage: Eukaryota; Fungi; Glomeromycota; Glomeromycetes; Diversisporales; Gigasporaceae
Description: SSU rRNA
Rfam family: Eukaryotic small subunit ribosomal RNA
Source: RNAcentral
AGCAGCCGCGGUAAUUCCAGCUCCAAUAGCGUAUAUUAAAGUUGUUGCAGUUAAAAAGCUCGUAGUUGAAUUUCGGGGUUCUACCGUUGGUCGGGCUAUUGUCUGUACUGGCGUGUAGAAUUUCUACCUUCUGGGGAACUAUCAUGUUAUUAAUUUAGCGUGGUAGGAAACCAGGACCUUUACCUUGAAAAAAUUAGAGUGUUUAAAGCAGGCUUACGUCUGAAUACAUUAGCAUGGAAUAAUAAAAUAGGACGGUGGUCCUGUUUUGUUGGUUUCUGAAUCACCGUAAUGAUUAAUAGGGAUAGUUGGGGGCAUUAGUAUUCAAUUGUCAGAGGUGAAAUUCUUGGAUUUAUUGAAGACUAACUACUGCGAAAGCAUUUGCCAAGGAUGUUUUCAUUAAUCAAGAACGAAAGUUAGGGGAUCGAAGACGAUCAGAUACCGUCGUAGUCUUAACCAUAAACUAUGCCGACUAGGGAUCGGAUGAUGUUAAUUUUUAAUGACUCAUUCGGCGCCUUACGGA